Molecule: long non-coding RNA, 2258 nt
Organism: Neopelma chrysocephalum (saffron-crested tyrant-manakin)
Lineage: Eukaryota; Metazoa; Chordata; Aves; Passeriformes; Pipridae
Exons: 3
Source: RefSeq, a predicted model, not a curated record
AUAGAGAAGAAUUUCUUCCCAAUACCUAAUCUAAACCUACCCUCUUCCAGUCUAAAAGAAAAAAAGAAAUCUGAAGAAAUCACUCCUGGUGGUAACAUCUGACCUCUUCAUCGAAAAAGCAGCCUCCAUCUACUUCAAGAAGGUGUGAUGUGUCCAGGCUCAGAGGGCCCCCUCAAGUGCACUGUUCCUGCAGCCAGAAGUCUCAAUGCUGCACAGUCUGCAAUGCCAGAGAGACUGAGCUUUGGUCCCUUCUCUGAAAUACUUCAUGCUGGACAGGCCCUCCCAAAGCAGUGGCCACACAAGAGAGAGAUAGAGCUACAAGUCCCAAGAGACCAGAGACUGAAGAAUAUGAGUUGUCAAAUACAGUGUUUGAUCCCAACAUUUAUUUGCCUGGUUACUUCACUAGGAGGCCUAUGGAGGCUUCUACACUUCUAUUUUGGGGGCGAGGGAAUGAAAUGGAGAUUGAAAAGUAGAAAGGGUUUGGUAGAAACAAGGAGACUGCCAUCUAAAUUCACAUCCUUCUUCUUUAUGUAAGAAGAAAUGAAAUGAGGAAGAAAUACCCCAGAUGCUGCCUAUUUUCGGUGAGUCAACUCUGCUUCGUCUUCCUCUCACAAAGAGAAGCAGAUUUUGUAACAAUUCCAACUUUGACAUUUUGGUCUUAAGUCAGAGAGAUAUUUAAAUACCUGCUUUGUGAACAGAAUUAUAUUGCUGGUUCCUCAGAACUUUGACUUGAAUUUUAGAACCUCUUUUCUAACAACAAAUAAAUAAGGAAGAUACAUAAUAUUCAGAAAGGUGGCAGGAUCCAAGAACAAAAUCUAAGUUCCCUUCUGCUGCAGUAAAUAUCUGAUAGGUUCAGAGUGUGCAGUUGGUGUAUGCAACAUCAGUGAUUUAACAUUGCUGCAAGGAAAGAGUCAUCCUUGGUGCUGUGCUCAUGCCAGUAAGUAUAAAACCAUCCCCUUCCUAUCUGGUCAAGGAAUUCAGAUGUGUAAAUGCCAGAUGGAGUCUUCUGUAGAGAACAAGUCCCUUCCUAGCUCAAAUUUAACUUUAUUCCUUGUCUUUAUUUUGAUGCAAACACAUUGUAUUCUCCCUUCAUUUUCCUAUGAUGAUUUAAAGUGAAGGCAUCAGUCUGAUUGAAAAUGCAACUUGCAGUAUUUCCUAUUCCACACUGAGAAAGAUGAAAGCUCUUAACUUCUUGAAGGCAUCUCUCAAAUAUAAUUAAUAAACCUAUUCUGGCCAGGACAGCAAGAUUUAAUCUCCAAGUAGAAAAGGUCAGUCUAGAGCAGGUGAGGAAUGGAGAUAAGGAGACAGGACUGUCGACUGCAAAGGCAGUUUGUGAAAAAAAUAGCUGGAUAAAAUAUAAAGGAGUGCAAAUAUAGGAAUGGAAAAACACUUUUAAUGCCAAAUAUCCAUAAUUUUGAAUGGCUACAAGAAUCUGCAAUUUUAGGUGGGAAAAAAACCCAUGUAUAACCUUGACCCUAAUGUUGAGCUCAAGUUAUUGCCUCUGCAUGAUUUUCCCCAAACAAAUUCAUCAUCUGCCCUGCUGGAGCACAUUGCUGCACAAUGCCCAGAAGCACAGUGGAUUGCCAAGAAGAGUUAUUAAGACAAAGGUUCCCAGGUUUUGUUUUUGUUUUUUAUUAUUAUUGGUGUUUUUUUACAUUACAGAAGAUUUAGGAUCUCCCUUCACUCUUGAGCUAUAAGGGAAGGAGGCCACUGUAAGCCUCUCUGUGGAGAGAGAGAAGGGAUAACUGCAUGACACUUCCCUUGAGAACCAAAACCAUCAAUUGCAAUAACUGAAAGCCCUGGGAGCAUCUACAACUAACAGUGAGGGAUCUGCAGUCAGAAAACAUGUCAUUUUUGUUGUUUCUCUGUAUUUAUGAAUGAUUAGGAAGAUCAAGAUUUUUUUUUUUUCACUGAUACAUUUUCUUUCACUCUUGUGCACCUCCUGACUGGAAGACAUUCAGUGAAUAUCAAUACUUUUUUUUGAGCAGCAUUAGGUUAAAGAUGGAGAAUCUAAAGCCACACUGACAGAAAAAUUAGGUACCUAAUUUUCAUACAUUCUCCAUAAAACCAUUAUGUGGCUGAGUCCAGAAAGAUUAAAAAAUUGCAAGGAGUGACCUCAACAUGGUACAAGGUUACGAGUGACAUACUCCCCUCCCCCAACACGCUUCAGAUUGCAGCAUGCUACAGAUUGUAGAUAUGUACAUGGAAAUACAAAUAAAAUACUAAAAUUAAAAAAAUAUUGCUCUAUCACAAAAGUA